RNAcentral lists this unclassified non-coding RNA (378 nucleotides) under plant metagenome. RNAcentral describes it as "partial contains 5.8S ribosomal RNA, internal transcribed spacer 2, and large subunit ribosomal RNA". The stretch from base 1 to 105 matches the Rfam family "5.8S ribosomal RNA", at positions 50 to 154 of the family's 154-position model. The record is from RNAcentral.
GAAAUGCGAUAAGUAAUGUGAAUUGCAGAAUUCAGUGAAUCAUCGAAUCUUUGAACGCACCUUGCGCUCCUUGGUAUUCCUUGGAGCAUGCCUGUUUGAGUAUCAUGAAAUCUUCAAAGUAAAUCUUUUGUUAACUCAAUUGGUUUCUACUUUGGUAUUGGAGGUCUUUGCAGCUUCACACCUGCUCCUCUUUGUUCAUUAGUUGGAUCUCAGUGUUAUGCUUGGUUCCACUCGGCGUGAUAAGUUAUCUAUCGCUGAGGACACUGUAAAAGGUGGCCAAGGUAAAUGCAGAUGAACCGCUUCUAAUAGUCCAUUGACUUGGACAAUACUUUUAUGAUCUGAUCUCAAAUCAGGUAGGACUACCCGCUGAACUUAAGC